AUGCCCUUAUUAUGAUAAUUGAGAUUUUGAUUAUAGAGUAUCUUGCCAAAGCCUCACUACGAAUUAUGGUGUAAUUUCCUGACGGUAAAUGUAGAUAACCUUAUCAUAUCAUGCGACGGACUUCAUUUCACCUCGUUUGGAAACAAGAUUUUGUUUGACGAGGUGCUCAAGAUGCUGGAAUAUAUUGGGUUUAACCAGAAAAUUCUCUGGUCGGAUCUCCCGCUGUUCCUUGAAAUUGACCCAAAAGACCCAUUGAAAGCAUUGGAAAUUUGAACAAGCUCCUUCGUUGCAAAGUAGACCAUGAUACAUCACUCGAAAAAGAUUCUCCUUCUUCAGUUCCUCACCGUGAUAUGUCUUCCCAAUCCCAUAGGUAUCGAUCAUUUUUUCUCUUAAUUGUCUUGGUUUGUAGGUUGUAGCUGCAGGAUCAAGAUACGUGUAUGGACACCUCCGUCUUCAUGACUCAAUGGGAAAUUUGAUGAGGUCAAUAAACAGAUCCAAUUCACUUGCCUCGCCGCAAUUAGGGUGUAAAUUCUUUGCUAUAAGCUGAAGCUCAGUACGGGUUGUGUCGCUAGGACUAUGUCACACAUAAAGAAAACACUUUCUACCAUUGCCAUGAAGGUAUAGCUUUCAGAUUAUCUCUUUGGUGAAUUUCAUGACUAUGAUAUCCCUAGCUAAUACUUCCAUUGGAUUGGAUGCUACACUAUGAGAAUUUUACUUCUGAGAUGGAUCUGUGUAAUAUAAAUAUUUGUUGAGCCAACCUAUUGACUACAGAAGCCUAUACUUC
Molecule: long non-coding RNA, 784 nt
Organism: Lolium rigidum
Lineage: Eukaryota; Viridiplantae; Streptophyta; Magnoliopsida; Poales; Poaceae
Exons: 3
Source: RefSeq, a predicted model, not a curated record